Molecule: ribosomal RNA, 467 nt
Filed under: uncultured bacterium
Lineage: Bacteria
Description: bacterial SSU rRNA
Rfam family: Bacterial small subunit ribosomal RNA
Source: RNAcentral
UGCCUUACACAUGCAAGUCGAACGGCAGGCACGGGAGCAAUCCUGGUGGCGAGUGGCGAACGGGUGAGUAAAGUAUCGGAACGUGCCCAGUCGUGGGGAUAACGUAGCGAAAGUUACGCUAAUACCGCAUACGAUCUAUGGAUGAAAGCGGGGGAUCGCAAGACCUCGCGCGAUUGGAGCGGCCGAUAUCAGAUUAGGUAGUUGGUGGGGUAAAGGCUCACCAAGCCGACGAUCUGUAGCUGGUCUGAGAGGACGACCAGCCACACUGGGACUGAGACACGGCCCAGACUCCUACGGGAGGCAGCAGUGGGGAAUUUUGGACAAUGGGCGCAAGCCUGAUCCAGCCAUGCCGCGUGCAGGAUGAAGGCCUUCGGGUUGUAAACUGCUUUUGUACGGAACGAAAAGGUUUGGCCUAAUAAGCUGAGCUCAUGACGGUACCGUAAGAAUAAGCACCGGCUAACUACGUG